AACGAACGCUGGCGGCAGGCCUAACACAUGCAAGUCGAACGAGAAGCCACCUUGGGUGGUGGACAGUGGCAGACGGGUGAGUAACGCGUGGGAACGUGCCUUUCGGUUCGGGAUAACCCAGGGAAACUUGGGCUAAUACCGGAUACGCCCUCCGGGGAAGAUCAUUGCCGAAAGAUCGGCCCGCGUCGGAUUAGCUAGUUGGUGGGGUAAAGCCUACCAAGGCGACGAUCCGUAGCUGGUCUGAGAGGAUGACCAGCCACACUGGAC
RNAcentral lists this ribosomal RNA (267 nucleotides) under uncultured bacterium. RNAcentral's name for it is "partial 16S ribosomal RNA". It matches the Rfam family "Bacterial small subunit ribosomal RNA", at positions 29 to 318 of the family's 1533-position model. The record is from RNAcentral.